Molecule: long non-coding RNA, 2174 nt
Organism: Acanthopagrus latus (yellowfin seabream)
Lineage: Eukaryota; Metazoa; Chordata; Actinopteri; Spariformes; Sparidae
Exons: 2
Source: RefSeq, a predicted model, not a curated record
ACAUUUGUGACAUCAUAGAUAGUACGGUGCUGAAUGGAGAGAGACAAAACCUCUUUCUCUCUGGUCUCUCUGGUGGUCAGAAGCUCCUGUGCUAACGGUAUUUGGCACUUUUAUUGGUCGCCUACAGCUACACCGAGCAAUAAAAGUCUUGUGUCUGGCAUUUCUAAUUAUCAGCAAUGCCAAUAGCCAAAGGAGAGACGUGAAGACAAAUGGCAGCUGGCAGGCGAGAGGACUGUCGGGGCACGUUGGCAGCAGCGCUCACCUCGUCCUCUGCUGCCUGACCUUGAUCUCCAAGAGGUCUUUCAUCUCUCAUUUAGGAUCCCUGCAAACCUGUGGAAUUUGGGAAGCCGUGCAAGCGACGCUCCCAUGGGGUUUUCGAAGCUUCGGGGGUGCCGAAACAGAGCUCCCAGUCACGGCGACAGUGCUUUCAGGAAUGCUGAGGAAUCUCCCAACAAGGACACAAGUCAGGCUGUCAGCACAAUGUAGCCGCUGUUGCCCCUCGGAGCAAAAUGUCACCCCAGAGGAAACACCUACCGAACCUGCUCCUCAUCCCUGUAAUAAAAUCCUCAGCUGGUACUGUUCCUGCUCCGGGAGCAGCGCAGUGUUGACAGAUUAAGUGUAAGGUAUAGUCCCCAAGAAACGUGUAGGGGAAUCAUAGAGGAUGGGAGGAAGGUAGCAGGCAGAGGGCCAGAGAGGUGUAAAUGUGUAACUCUGUAAGCACGCUGUGUGAUGAUGGUAUCACUGCCUGUGUCUCUGCUGCACAGAGCGAGCACAAGAGAUUUCCUUUGUGUGUGUGUGUUUGGCAUUGAGAAACUUGGCCUCUGUUUGUCCGUGGAUUCCUCUCCUUCCGUCCUCUUCUUUCCGCUCCUCCUCCUCCUCCCAGAAAGUUCUGCUCAAAAACAUUAAAACGAUAUGGGGCAGAGGAAACAGUCAUUGAAGGAACAGUUGGACAUUUUGACAAGAUAAGCUUUUCUUUUCUUGCCGAGAGAUGAGAGGAGGAGAUCAACACCAGUCUCACGUCAGAGCGAGCAGGUGGUUAGCUUAGCAUAAGCAUAACCUGGCUCCAUUCAAAGGAAACUAACUUGGUCUACAAGCACUUCUAAAGCUCAAAACAUGUACUGACAUGUUUUAUCUUGUUUGUUUAAUCUGUACCAAAACUGAAGUGGUACCAAGAAAAACCUCCCAACAGGCUUCUACAUCUUAGAUUUUGUCCAACUCUGCAGGUAUAAUUUGUUAGUUAGUGGGCUUUAAAGGUACAGGUAUGCAGGCUAGCUGCUCCCCCCUGUUUUUUUUAGCCUUUAUGCUAAGCUAAGCUAGCAAGCUGCUGGAUCUAGGUUCAUAUAUACCGUACAGACAUGAGUGUGGCAUUAACUACACUGCCUACUUUACCCAGUAAUGGUUAAAAGCUUAUCUUCUAAGCGUGGCUUUCAAAUAGCCUUCAUUUUAAAUACCUAAUUGUCUGAAUGUGUUGAAUUCCAGCGACGUCAUAGAUCACCGUUCCCAAAGCAACAGGCAUUCCUAACAUUCGUCACACGCUCGCUGUUUGGUUAGUGAAGGCGCUAACACUUGGUUAGGUUAGACAAACACUGUGUUGCUUCAGUCAUGUCACGUAACUUCACUACGUCAACCGACUUCCUCCUUUGCUGCCAUAAUACAGCCACUAGAGGCCGCCGCCUAACACGAAACAUAAUUAUGGGUCGUACAAAACUGCUUUCACAUGUGUGGUUGUUUGAAUUUAAUUUAGAUGUGCAUUUGUGUUCUGUUAUAUUUUUAUCCCACAUGAUUUAAACUGCAGUGGUUUACUUUUACAUUUUGUGUCUCUUGUGUCACUCAUCUUUACCCCGUUUUAAAAAUUGUAAUCACCCUUUAUAACACUUUUUAAUUGUCCUGAUGUAUGAAAUGUGCAAUGCAAAUUAAGUUACAUUUCCUAAUCUUCUCAUCUAACUUUAGGCAAGCAGACAAAAUGUUGUUAGAGUCAUUUUUCAGUUUUUUGUGUAAAAUACCACAGCUCUAAUUCUAAUUUUCCAUCUAAAGGCUGCAUUUCAUUAAGCUGAAUCAAAGCUUUCCUACACAUAAUGGAAACUUUCCUGCACGUUUUUAUCAAUUUGUCAACUUGUGUAAAUUUAUGUGUACGGUAAGAAGUCAAGAUAAAAGUUAACCAUUCUCUGUUGUCC